UACGAAGGGGGCUAGCGUUGCUCGGAAUCACUGGGCGUAAAGGGUGCGUAGGCGGGUCUUUAAGUCAGGGGUGAAAUCCUGGAGCUCAACUCCAGAACUGUCUUUGAUACUGAGGAUCUUGAGUUCGGGAGAGGUGAGUGGAACUGCGAGUGUAGAGGUGAAAUUCGUAGAUAUUCGCAAGAACACCAGUGGCGAAGGCGGCUCACUGGCCCGAUACUGACGCUGAGGCACGAAAGCGUGGGGAGCGAACAGG
Molecule: ribosomal RNA, 253 nt
Filed under: uncultured bacterium
Lineage: Bacteria
Description: partial 16S ribosomal RNA
Rfam family: Bacterial small subunit ribosomal RNA
Source: RNAcentral